UACGUAGGUGGCGAGCGUUAUCCGGAUUUAUUGGGUUUAAAGGGUGCGUAGGCGGGUAUUUAAGUCGGUGGUGAAAGGUAGCAGCUCAACUGUUUUACAUGCUGCCGAUACUGAAUAUCUUGAGUUAUGAGAAGGCAGAUAGAAUUUCUGGUGUAGCGGUGAAAUGCUUAGAUACCAGAAGGAAUACCGAUUGCGAAGGCAGUCUGCUGCACAUACACUGACGCUGAGGCACGAAAGUAUGGGGAUCAAACAGG
Molecule: ribosomal RNA, 254 nt
Filed under: uncultured bacterium
Lineage: Bacteria
Description: partial 16S ribosomal RNA
Rfam family: Bacterial small subunit ribosomal RNA
Source: RNAcentral